This 239-nucleotide long non-coding RNA is filed under the name Hordeum vulgare. Its description in RNAcentral is "long non-coding RNA (HVUL_LNC001329)". Lineage: Eukaryota; Viridiplantae; Streptophyta; Magnoliopsida; Poales; Poaceae. The record is from RNAcentral.
UUUUCAAUUUUUCAUCCAGUUCCCCUUAAUUAUCCGGAGCAGCACUCUGCAGAAGCUCAUCACCGAAUCUACCACCGCCCCCAACGACAACGACGGCAAGGAGUGCACCGUGCAGCUCGAUGACCUACUCGGCGGCCCGGUGUUGGAGCAUAUAUCUCCAUAUGUGGUUUUGGUAAUUGAUGACAACUCCUAUGGACUAAUGGUUGCUUUAAGUUAUAUUUAUAGGAUUUGUCCAUAGG